This 459-nucleotide ribosomal RNA is filed under the name Carlia pectoralis. RNAcentral describes it as "partial 16S ribosomal RNA". It matches the Rfam family "Bacterial large subunit ribosomal RNA", at positions 1843 to 2561 of the family's 2925-position model. The record is from RNAcentral. Lineage: Eukaryota; Metazoa; Chordata; Lepidosauria; Squamata; Scincidae.
GUAUUAAAGGUGUUGCCUGCCCAGUGAAACAUUUUUAACGGCCGCGGUAUCCUAACCGUGCAAAGGUAGCGUAAUCACUUGUCUUUUAAAUAAAGACUCGUAUGAAAGGCUAAAUGAGGACAACCCUGUCUCUUAUAACCAACCAGUUAAACUGAUCUUCAAGUACAAAAGCUUGAAUAAAAACAUAAGACGAGAAGACCCUGUGGAGCUUUAAACUAAUACUAUACACAAAUAGCACAAGUUUUAAGUUGGGGCGACUUCGGAAUAAAACAAAACUUCCGAGCACAGAGCCACCCACUCUAACCAAGACCAACAAGUCAAAGAACAUAAUGACCCAGUCAUACUGAACAUCGAACCAAGUUACCCCAGGGAUAACAGCGCCAUCUUCUUCAAGAGUCCAUAUCGACAAGAAGGUUUACGACCUCGAUGUUGGAUCAGGACACCCAAAUGGUGCAGCAG